RNAcentral lists this ribosomal RNA (347 nucleotides) under uncultured bacterium. RNAcentral describes it as "partial 16S ribosomal RNA". It matches the Rfam family "Bacterial small subunit ribosomal RNA", at positions 338 to 696 of the family's 1533-position model. The record is from RNAcentral.
CCUACGGGGAGCUGCAGUCGAGAAUCAUUCACAAUGGGGGAAACCCUGAUGGUGCGACGCCGCGUGGGGGAAUGAAGGUCUUCGGAUGGUAAACCCCUUUCAUGUGGGAGCAAAUAAAAAAGAUAGUACCACAAUAGGAAGAGACGGCUAACACUGUGCCAGCAGCCGCGGUAAUACGGAGGUCUCAAGCGUUGUCCGGAAUCACUGGGAGUAGAGGGUGCGUAGGGGGUUAGGGAAGUCUGUGGUGAAAGGGGCGGGCUCAACCCGCGGACUGCACAUGCUACUGCGAGGCUAGAGUACUGGAGGGGCAACCGGAAUUCUGGGUGUAGCAGUGAAAUGCGUAGAUA